AGUCGUAGUUGCCACUGCAUUCGAAUCACAGCCGCCACGGAUCCAGUGGCCCGACGUGGAAGGCAGAACUCCCAGACCUUUUCUCUCCACCCUAAGCUUCUGCACGCGCGCACCGCCCCUCACCGUCGGCCUCUUCUCCUCUUCGUCCGCCACAGGAUCUCGCCUCGCCGAGGCCAUGUACCGUGCCGCCGGGGACCACAUCCGCUCCCUCAAGGUGAAUAGACAAAAAUACGGGUGAGACAAAUUUUCCUGGUGUUGUACGAGGAGAGGGCAGCCAACGGCCACCGGGAGUUGGGUCCUAGGAGCCACCGACUUCAGCCGCCUGCUCAAUGACGGCGAGGGCGGUGCCUACCUGACAAGCCCGCACGUCGGCAUGGUAGUUGCCAUCAAGAAACUCAAUCCCAAUGACAUAAGGUUCGAAUGCUCCAUUCCUUAGACAAUGCCAACGUCCUGAAAUUUUACUCCUGGUGGUCCUUUUGUGCUUUCCCUUGCACACAAACACAAAGUGAACUUUCUUCUGUGAUCAGG
This is a long non-coding RNA of Zea mays, 528 nucleotides long. RefSeq lists it as uncharacterized. The transcript has 4 exons. NCBI's taxonomy places the organism in Eukaryota, Viridiplantae, Streptophyta, Magnoliopsida, Poales, Poaceae. The record is from RefSeq and is a predicted model, not a curated record.